UGCCUCCAGUUUUCUAGAAGUUAACUUAUGCUUGCUUACACUCAUAUAUAGCAACACUCUCCCUUUUCUCUCUUCUUUCUCAUUAACCAAGCCUUCCUGUUUGUAGAGAAAAAACUAUCGACUGUCAGUGUUACACUCAUAUUUUUCAGAUACUUUUUAUUUCUUCAAAACUCACAUAUCUUAUUUAUUAAGAGUUUUCUGAAGGAAAUUAAAUAGAAUUAUUUUAAUUAGUUUUGCAUUCUAAAGAAGUUCUUGAGAUUUUGGUAACUGUCCAAUGUAUUGUUCUCUAAAUCUAAGAAAAAGAGAAUAACCAGAGUAAAAAGAAAUAGAGAAGCAAGUCAAAAAAAUUAGGGCAAGGGCUACUGAGAAAAAUAAAGCUGAUUGGCAGAAAGAAAAAGUAAACUUUAAAUAUAGUUUAGGAAAGGUUUUAUCAAUUAUAAAUAAGAAAAAAGAUAUACAUGGGGCUACAGUGGAUCUCUGGCUAAUUAUGUCUUAAAAACUUACCCCUGUUGUUCAGAGACAUAAUACUGAUGGUCACUGAAGAAUUUGGAAAAUAUAAAUAACCAUCCAAUUAUAUGCAUUAUAAAUCAUUUCUUCAUUAUCCCAUUGUGCUCUUUAACAUCUUAAUACUUAUGCCAAACGUGUAGAAUUUAAAGCAGGUCCAGAGGAAGCAGCAAUACAACUUAAAAGUUGCAAUGAAACAAGGGUAAAGGAACUGGCCUUGUUUAGUCUGGAGAAGAGACUGGGAAGGAAUUAAUAGCAGUCUUCAAGUGUGUGAAGGAACACAGUCCUUUGCAGGUAGAGAUGAACAGCUGGUCUCUGUUUCCUUUGAGAAUAGUACAAGACAGCAUGGUCUUAAAUGUGGUAGAUGAGGAUUUAGGCAAGAUGUUAGGAAGAUCUUCUCUACUCAGGGGAGGUGCAGGGAGAGGAUCUUCAGAUCUUCAGGAUUUAGAGUGUGUUGAAUUAUUAUUAUUAUAUUUGGAGUCAGCUAGUUCAAUUUGCAGAAAAUAAAGAAUGAAUGCAAUCUAUAAAACAGGAGCCUGUGGCGGAAAGGAAACAAAGAAUGAAUAAUUGUGAUCUACGGAUAAAGACCAUUUGGAUGAAAAAAAAAAUGUUAAGUUCAAGAUGUGUAUGAGAGUCAGAAUACUUGACCAGAAGGAAAACACAUUAUAGAAAAAAGAAAGAGGUUAAUUAGAUAAAGACAAAACAAUGAAAAUUUGAGGGUAUGGAAUCUACUUAGAAUAAACAUAAAAUUUUCAUCAAAAUUUUGUUUUGGUGAUGAGAGAAGAAUUAUAGUUAACCAUGUGCACAGUAUAUGUAAUCCACCAGCAAUUUUUAAAAAUUUGUGGGGUUGACACUCUUAAAUAUUAAAAAUAGAACAAGCAAACAAAUUAUCUGUAUUUCUUGUUGCUUUGUAAAAAACAAAAUGUAAUGGGGAAAUGAACUAAGUAACUUUUCUUAUCUUUCUCAAUCUUUUGAUUCUAUGGUAGUAAGUAAAUGGUCCAUAUAUACCAAAUAAAACAAGAAUGAAGAAUGCAUAGAAUUCAAGAAGCAAUAUUAUAACAGUAGGACUAAUUCACAAAAAUGAUUGCAAAAGUCAUCGACAUCCUUAUCACAGGAUAUAUUAACGGGGUGUUCAGUGAUCUAGGUUUUACACAGAGCAAACAAAGGAAAGUGAUUCAUGAAUUUAAGAAUCUUAGAGUCUCAGAUUUAUUGUCAUUUGAUGAGAAUGUUGCAUUACAGUGCAAUCACUUGGGAAUGUAAAAUCUAUUACACUUAAAAUGAUGCUUAGAUAUAUAAAUGUAGGAACAUAAAUGUCCAGUUCAACAAACUGAAUUGUUAAAGGAAGUGUACUGGAUUUUAAAAUAAUUACAGAGGUUAAAAUUUUCAGUCUCCUUGAACUAUGAUUGCAAUUUCUGAUAAUCAGAAUUGUGCUUAAAGAUUACAAAUAUAUUAUAUUCUGGUUCUGUGUAAGCAGCUUGAUUCCUAGAUUACUUGCUUAGUUUUAUCAAUUUUCUCAUUACUUUAUUCCUUCCCACAGUCAUUCUACCUCUUUGAAGAUGGAAUGGAUCCUGCUUAUGUUUAGCUUUGCUGAAAAAAUUCUCAAUAUCUCACAGCUGCGUUUUGUCAUUGAUAGGCUCACUCUAAUGUGUUUUGCAAAGCACUAUUUUUUUCUGAUGUUUGAAACUUUGCUUUACUCUAAAGAGCAGAAAAUAGAAUACUCCAUAUUUGAUUUUAUUUUGCCAAGAUGAUAGUUAUGUAUAUUUUAUAACAUUCUGGUACACAGAUACGAACAAUCUAAAAAUAGAUUCUUGAAAAUAUUUUUUUGCUACUUUUUAAAAAUAUACUAACACUUCACUUGUAAAAUGAUUUUGGUCUGGAAAUACAUUUUAGCUUCUCUCUCUCUCUCUCUCUCUCUCUCUCUCUCUCUCCAAAGAAAAGCCUUUUGUUCUGGUCUCUCUGGCACUACCUCAUUCUGUGACUUUCUGCUGUCCCCUAGUGGCAUGUUAAUCUUCGUGACUACUGUGAUAGCCCUGAAACCAAUUCUCUAGUCUUCUGUGCUUUCUUGUGACUCUCAUUAGCAGACAUUUAAAAUACUAUUAAACAACCCAUGAGCUGCCUUUUAGAAGCAAUAACCCUGUUCUUUAGCCCAAACUGUUUUCCAUUUAUGAAUUCUUACCGGAGAACACGUGUCCAGGGAAUUCAUGCUAUCUAGAUACAUUGUAUUAUCACAAUAAACAUUGCAGGUUUUCAGAAUUCUAACACAAAACUGAUAAAAGCAAAAUGUUAUCAGUUCUGACUGUUCUAUACAUAGCAUGCAGUAGCUAAAAGGUAAGUUGUGGCAGGUCAGACAAUUUAUGUCAAUAGGUUUACAAACAAAAACAGUACUAUUCCUUUUCCUUUACUUUUCAAAGUCUUGAAUGGUUACUACAAUUGUAAUAUUUGUUCUUUUCAUAGUGACAUAUUUCUAUGAAAAAAUUAGACAGAUACAAUGAUCUGAUAUACAUUUGAAGCAUUUGAUGAAAAUUAAUUUAUAGAAAAGAAAGACGCAUCAAAGUUUACGAGGAUGAUUUUUUUAAAAAAGCUUCUUAAAAUUUUCUGCAUGUCAUCUUUUUUUCUAAAUGGAUCUGAAUUUUUUUAAAGUAAAGAUAAAUUAAUUAUCUCCCUUCUAAAAUUCCUUGAGUACAGUGUUCAGCUCUACUAUGGAGCUGGUAAAUAUUUUAGCAUAGACAUCUGGUUUUCUGAAUUUGUCAUUUCAAAACUCAUGUGAUGAAACUGGAAUGUAAGUUUGUCAACAACAAUAUUUAAGUUUUUAAAAACUUAAUCUCAACUGGUAAUUACUAUAAACCUGCUUCACACAAUUCUUUGGAAGAUGGCUAAAAGCAACCAAGAAGAAUUUAUGAGAAAAAAAGUCUGAUGAAAUCUAGUCCAUUAACUGAACUUUACAGAAAUCUGAGCUGUGUACUGAACUAAUGAUUUCUUGGCACUGCCUUGUUUGGCACUUGUCAUGGUUUUGACAAUUAUCACAUGAAUAGCAACACUAUUUUCUUUCUGAACUCAGGAGAAAGGGGUUUUGUGGGGGUGGGAGUGAGAAGGAGGCCCAACUCCUGCUUCUUAGUAAUCCAAGUAUACAGUUUGGUCAUGUAGAAGGGAAAGAAGUAAGCUGUAAGGCCCUGUCACAUGACAAUCUCUUUUUAUUCAAAGAGAAGUUGAUGUAGUUUUUGAACUGCCUCUCUUCUGAAAGGUCAGCUUGCGGACCAGUUUGGUCAUUUUGUCUGUUUAUCUGUGCUUCCACUGGCACAAGAUAUCAAAAAACAAGGUCUUAGAUUGCAAUCAGUCUUGCUUAAAUAUGAAGUCAUCCAACCAGUCCAAUCCAAGAAAUCCUAUUGACUAUCUUGAGGAAAGGGAAGAGUUUAGACCUCCUGAACUUUUUCUCAAGCAAAAAAGGUAAACCACUUUUCUAAACCUCCUUAACAAAUGAUAGAACUCCGAUCAUCCCCUCCUUCAAUUUAUCCUCCCACCAAAUUUCUCAAAUUCAGAUCACAUGGUUUUCUAAAAAUACACUCUCCAAACGCUGUAAUUUACAAUAGCUAGUUUUCACAGAGAAAUGUCUGAUUUUUUCAGUUGCCUAUUCAGAUUGUAAAUGUCCUAAAAAUGCUCUCCUGGAGUUAUUUUUAAAACAUUAUGGUAUGUUAGAUAAUAAAUAUUGCUGCUUUGUUAUUGGAAACAUUGGAAGUGGCAUAUUUGACAGGUUAAUAGGAAGGAGGAUUCCAUCUGAAAUUUUAAUUAAUUUCAUUUUGGAUACAUGUGACUUAUAAAAUCUUAAUACUAAUGUCUAAAUGUGAAAAAAAUUUGCUGUUAGAGAUUAUACUCACUUGAUUAGCUUGCAGAUUAUUUGGAAAAUAGGGGCAGGAAAAAGUUUUCUUUUUUAAAAAAAUUAAAUCUAGAGACAGUCUUAAUAAAUCUUCUCUAAAGUAAUAUAGCAUUAUCAGUGGCCUAUUCUCUACAGAAUUAGUUUUUCCAAAACAAAUAAUAAAGCUGAGCAGUCCUACUUUUUACAACUCUGGAGACUAUCUAAACAAAAUGAACAGAUUUAUAGGGCUAUUUUUAGUGUGUGUCACUUGCAUUACAGUUUACAUUUGCUUUCAAACCUUAUUUGACAUUCUUGGUAGAAAAAUACAGGCAGAACCCUCAUUAAGAUCCUUAAUAAAGGACAGUCUCCAUAGGGCAGUUACCAAAAAACCAAAGUCGUGGCAUGUAUAGGAAUGUUCUUUUGGACUUUAUGUCAUGCCUACUUCAUUUUCAUUUGUGUAAAUAGUAAAGGCCCGAACCAGAAUGCAGAUGUACAGAUUCUCUUUAUAACAACCAUUUGGCAUUGGUAUAGUCUACUAAUAAUAAUUGAAGUAAAAGCAUAUUUUUCACAGUUUGGAAUUUUCACACAGCAACAGGUAAGUACUGCUAUGUCUAAAUAACUAUUAUUCUUCCAUAAAUUGUAUAUUCACAUUAAAGUGAAAGUUAACUUGCUGGAGAAGUGUAGUACAAUGCUGUGAUUUUCUGCAAACCAUUCUUUAGUGCACAAAAAAUGCAUGGAAAACCUUAUGUAAUGUUAUGAAAUAUGUCAUCACACAUCAAUUUAUGAAAAAAUCAUGUUGUAUUUCAAAAUAUAGAUGGGAGGAUUAAAUGUUUGCAUUUUGUCUAAACCAAGUUUCCCUACCAGCUUGUUCCACAUCAGGAGAAAGACCAAUCUCUUCCAUUGUGAAGGGGAACCCAUUUCACUUACAUAUACAGAUAAAGAAUAAAGAAUUCAUCUCCUUUUGUUUAUUUAGAAAAGAUAUUACAUCUAGAGGGAAGUAUUAAGAAGAUAAAACCAGAUACAUAUUUAGUCACUUUAUCAUAUCUUUCUCUUCUACGUAAAGGAGAACACUUUGAUAAGGUUAGACUGUACAGGAAACCUAAAUUGACACUCCGUUCAAUGUGUUGUAUGCUUUCAUAUUAAUCGUGUUCAUGGCAAACUCCCUAGUAAGGAAAUACCUUAGCUGUAGACAUCAUUUAGUUGAGCCUUAUAAAUAGAGCUCAAAUUCAAAGGUAAGAAAGCAGACAAGAAUUUAACACCAACCACCCUGAUAAGAUUAUGUUUUCAAAGCAAAAACAUGUCUACGAAGUGUUGUGGUGUGGAAAUGUCCGAUUAAACUCUUAAGCAAACAUGCUUUCCCACACAGCAGCCUCUUUAUUUGCAUGAAAUAAUUCCUUAGAACAACAAAAAGUAACUUGGCACAACUAGUGGAGCUUAUUAAAAGUCAGUGUACCACAUUUAAACCUGAAAAAGAGUUUUCUAUACAAUGAUGGCUUCUCAGAUGGCUCCUUAUGAACUUGAGUAAACUGACAAGUAAAAUGACUCACUUGGACUAGUAGAGAAUAAUAUUCAUUGCAACUGCUAAAAAAUACAAAUUAAGACACUUUGGGAGGUUUCAAACAGUUUGCUAUACAUGAGUCUUCUAAGAAAGUAGUUUUAUAGCUUGAUGAGUGUUUUUAACUAGUUAAAGAUGUUACUACAGCUACCUUAAAGCCGUGUUGUAAAACAAUGCCUUUGAUUAAAAGAUUGUCAGGGUUGGUUUUUUUCUAAUUUGAAGCUUUCAAUCAUCCUAUUUAUUUGGCUUUACAGUGUAAAGGAAUUGGUUUUCUCUAGUAAAUUUAUCAAUUACUAAUUAGUUUGGUGGUGAGUGGCUAAUUUGGGUUUCUAUAUAAAAUAGGGCCAGUUUCAAUUUCUCCUAGCAUUGGUUUAUCCUGGCCUAUUUAACAUAUGAAUUAAGCCCAGAUAUCUUUCAGAAUUCAACGCUGUACUUAUUCCUGCCAAAAUAAUAAAAAAUAAUUUAUUGUUGUAAUCUCGAUUUAUGGUUUAGUUAGGCAGAGUAAAAAUAUGACCUCUGUAGGAAUCCCCAUUGCCCCUUAAAUUCCAGUUUGCUUUACAAUGGGUUUGUGUGCUGGUGAAAGUUGGUCCAGCUAACACUUAAUAUGUCAAGUUCAAAAUGAGCUGCUUCUGAUUUCAAAGUCAUAUUAAAAUGAGAGGAGAUGAAAAUCCUCUUCAAAUAGAUUAUUUAACUCCUUGUAACUUUAAAUGACAAAAAGAAAAAACGAUAAACCUAGUCAUAAGAUAAAUACAUUGCAAGCAGGAACAUAUGAAGCAUUUUUCAAAAUUAAACUGCUAUGACAAGCAGUUGUAAGGCAGUCUGUUUUCUUUUUUGGGGGGUGUUAAAGAUAUUAUAAUUGAAAAAUGAAUACCCACAGCAACUAGCAUCUUCUUUUAAGAUGUUCUUUUUUUAUUCAGAAAAGAAUAUCUUUUUUAAUCAAAUAUAUUCACAAUGUUUUGUAAAUUUGGUGAUCUGAGUUUUGUAGAUUUGUUUCAGAUGUUUAUAGCAUCACUUUAUGCAUUAUAUAUUUUUGUCCAUAAAGCAUUCUCCAAAUGGUAGUUAUUUCUGUGAAUAAUACAACAAAGCAAGAAAAUAUGGCUUUUUCCCCUACUUCAUCAUUGAAGUGGAAUACGAUCAUUAGCCAGGGCUGUGGUUUAGUAACAACAUUUUGAAAAAUAGCCUAAAUAAGUAGAUGUCAAAUUAACCAAGAAUGGGGCAAUUACCAUCAUUUUCAAAAAAGCAUAUACCAUUAGAAUUUCAAGCUAUAAAUAAUUGUUUUUGAAGAAAAUAGAAAGUUGCAUCUUUACAGGAUUUGCAAACCCUAUCUCUUGAGUGCGUUAAAAAAAGAUUCAGUACUCAAGUUAGAUUUGUGAAAAUCGUGAUUCAGGAACUGUUCAUGAAUAUAAUAAAGUCACAUGACUCACCCUGAAUUUAGAAGUGGCUGAUGCAGCAACAGACAACACGAUGACUUACAGCAUUUUUCCCUUUCAUAAUUUGCAAAAAGUGUUUCUGAUUCAGUUUCCUCAUCCUCUGCAAAGAUGCCUCAGUUCUGAAGCGAGAAGUUUACUUUGUCCAAAUUCCGUCUAGUGUUUUCACUGUUGCUGAAGUCAGAGACAAAGGAUAUUUUCUCAAGCACUGAUUUUUUUAACCCUCUGUGUUUAAUAAGAAUUUAUCAUUUAGAAGUCCUGCAGGUUGAAAUACAUAUAAAAAUCAGUUUUAAUUUCCAAAAACCAUUUACAGUGAAAGAAGAAGGAAUUUCAAUCAUUUUAUCACGUGGCUUAUAUAUCUAGGUAUACUUUUAAUUAAACACAGGUCUAUAAAUAAGCAAAUAAUAGGAGUUAGUGGAGAAGCAGUUGAUCUAAAUCGUGACAGUUGCUCAUUUAUCUUUGUCCUAACUAGACAAUAGGAAAUGACACUACACUGUUGUUUUCUAUGCAUUAAGAUUUCCUUCUUAAACAAAUGCAAUUGAGGCGGUUUGUUUUCCGACAGCCCAGCACACACUGCCAGUGGCCAGAGUUUUGUCUCGUCUUCAUCCAGAGGAGGAUUAAUCUUGGUGAUGGUGCAAACAAAAUAUCUAUUUCUCUGGAGUGAGUGCAGAUGUUUGAGGUGGCUGGAGUUACAUGAAAACUGUAUUUAAGAAAAACUGUCAGCAGACAAGAAUAACGUCAAAUUGCAAAACAAAAUACUGUGAAUGAAUCCAUAGAAGAGGAAGUAUGAACAAGGAUGAAGGAAAAUAUUCCUAGCAUAAUGAAUGAAGAUGACUUAAGUGGAUGAAAUCAUACAAUAUAUGGCCUUUGUGGAUAGCUUCUUUUGCUAAGCAUAGUGUUUUCCAUUUCACGAUCAAAGGGAAAUAUGGCAUAGAUUCGUCUGACCCCUCUGACAGCUUCCAUUCAGCAGAAAUGAGAGAAGAAAGCUAGACACAGCUGUGAAGCCAGAAGUCUGAAGAGCAGCAUCCAGGCAAUGAUGUCGGACAGCUCUCGGCAGCUGCUCACGACCCCAUCCGGCGGGGUAGCAGCGUUUGUAUUAGGGCCUCCAGCGUGGAAGCACCAUCAGCAAUUCUGCUCUCAGAACGCUGAAGAGUUUCUGAGUUUGGAAGGAACAAAGCAAAUGACUUGUGAGAGCACAACACCCAAAUCUUUGAUGGUUUUUCCCUUGCCAGUUGCCAUACAAGGAAUUAUACAGCUCAAUAAAAUGAAGCACUCAGCGCUGUGUGGUUCAUACAAGUGGUUGGAAGGAUUCUGAGGAGCCCUGAAGACACAUCUCGGAGGAAGAGGCUUCUGGGUGGCAGUCAGAGCAACUGAGAGUCCAGGUGAGGUGAGUUCCCGCUUUAUUCCUUACCCCCCACAUGAAAAGUGCUUAGCCCCCAGCUCUGCCUCAGGCCAAAGGCAUGAGGCCAUCGCCUGAAGCUCCUGAUGAAUCCUCAUAGACUUCUGUGGUCAGAGUUUCUCAGGCAAAACCAGCACAGAGCAAAUGCUUUGUACUUGAUGUCUGCCUCUUGAAAGCUUGGAGCAAAGAUAUCUCUUUGAAAAAAUAAGAAAAAAAAUGGAAAUUAUGCUUAGAAGGCCAUUUUUCAUCUCUUGCCAUUUGUGUAUGCAGCAAACACUAAAUAUUGUAUUGCCUAGCAGGAAGUCAAAUACAAGUGCCCGGUGUGUCUUAAAUAAAAUAAGAGGCAUGUUCAUUUAGAGUUUGUGAGUGAUAAUUCAACAUGAAAAUCUGGGGGCAAAGAAAUGAUCUUGGGAGCCCCUAGGCAAACCAGGAGAACUGGCACAUGGGCAGUCAGCAACCCGGCUUUCUGUCAUUACCAAUGGGAUGUACAUUGCCUUUUUCCUCCUGUCUUUAUUCAUUUUUCAACAGCCUGCCACAUGCAAUAUGCCAAAUUUCAUAUAAAAAAGCCCUACACACACAUACACACACACACGCACACACACGCACACACACACAGGAACUGAAGAAACUUCAGCAGAUCCCAGCAUAGACAGACAGUAAAAACAGCCAUCUGCACUGAAGCCGGGGAUUUAUUCAAUUACAUUUGCCCGAGUUAUUUGUUUGGCUUUGCAAUGUAAAGAGUUCUGUUUUAUUGUUGGAACUUUUCAGACUGUCGAACUGUUUUCAAAACUCUUUUCCCAGAUGCAUUUGGCAUUUACCAACAGUGAGCAAGCACCAGCCAUGGAACACAAAAAUGUGUGUGCAUCAGAUGGACAUUAAAAUCUUUACCUAGGUCAGCUGCCAGAAUCAGACUAAGGUUUCUGCUAUUUAAUGGAAAGUUAAAAGAAGUUUACAGCCCUAAUGCCUGUGGCACAGAUUAUUUUUCAGGGUUGUGGGGAUUAAAGCAUAAGAGAUUCUUUCAAGCAAGUUUGAACAAGGGUGUUAGGAAGCAUGACUGGCAGGUGGCUGAGCUGCACAGUGUCAUCCAAGUUCAAGCUUCUGAACAUGAUGUUAUCUAUUCCCAACUCAGAUUUCACGUUUGAUCCUGAGGAUUCUAGCAUUGCUAUAAUCAAGUCAGGUAGUGUGGCCAACCCUUCACUUUUAUUUAAAGCAGUGGUUCCUAGUACUAUGCAUGCUUUAAAUUAAACUACAUAAUUGCUCCUGAAUAAUAUUAUUUGUGAAAGUAGCUAUUAUCCACAGAAGAUCGACAUUCAUUCCCAAAAAAGGUAAAAAGUCAUAAUCAUCAGGAUAAUCUAUCACAAAUCCCCUAUUCUUAUCUAUGGACACAAUGCAAGUAUAUAUUAGAUCAAAAGAGAAAGAUGUAAUGCUCUACCUCAACAUGAGGUAUUAUAGCACAUUAUAUUUUUCACAUGUGGUCUUAAAUUUCAUAACAAUGCCACAAAUUUUGGAAUUUUCGUUACGAGAUGAAUCCAGUAUUUUUGUACAAGGCUUGUUUGAUAUACACCUGUUGUAAUUGUUUCACACAUAAACACGGAUGGAUGUGUGUGUGUGUGUGUGUAUAUUUGCUUUAGUAUCUGUCUUUUUUUGUUGUUGUUGUUCCGACAGGCAGAGUGGACAGUGAAAGAGAGAGGCAGAGAGAAAGGUCUUCCUUUGCCGUUGGUUCACCCUCCAAUGGCUGCCGCGGCUGGCGCGCUGCGGCCGGCGCACCACGCUGAUCCGAUGGCAGGAGCCAGGAGCCAGGUGCUUUUCCUGGUCUCCCAUGGGGUGCAGGGCCCAAGCACCUGGGCCAUCCUCCACUGCACUCCCUGACCACAGCAGAGCGCUGGCCUGGAAGAGGGGCAACCGGGACAGAAUCCGGCGCCCCGACCGGGACUAGAACCUGGUGUGCCGGCGCCGCAAGGUGGAGGAUUAGCCUAGUGAGCCGCGGCACUGGCC
Non-coding RNA from Oryctolagus cuniculus (rabbit), 10730 nucleotides. The record is from RefSeq and is a predicted model, not a curated record. Lineage: Eukaryota; Metazoa; Chordata; Mammalia; Lagomorpha; Leporidae.